This 240-nucleotide ribosomal RNA is filed under the name uncultured bacterium. Its description in RNAcentral is "partial 16S ribosomal RNA". It matches the Rfam family "Bacterial small subunit ribosomal RNA", at positions 1263 to 1500 of the family's 1533-position model. The record is from RNAcentral.
UGGAGCGAAUCACAAAAACUACGGUCUCAGUUCAGAUUGCAGGCUGCAACUCGCCUGCAUGAAGUUGGAAUUGCUAGUAAUCGCGAAUCAGAAUGUCGCGGUGAAUACGUUCCCGGGCCUUGUACACACCGCCCGUCACACCAUGAGAGUCGAUAACACCCGAAGCCUGUGAGCUAACCUUUUAGGAGGCAGCAGUCGAAGGUGGGGUUGAUGAUUGGGGUGAAGUCGUAACAAGGUAUC